UACGGAGGAUGCAAGCGUUAUCCGGAUUUAUUGGGUUUAAAGGGUGCGCAGGUUGUUUGAUAAGUCAGUGGUGAAAGUCUGUCGCUUAACGGUAGGAUUGCCAUUGAUACUGUUGGACUUGAAUAUGGAUGAGGUAGGCGGAAUGUGUAGUGUAGCGGUGAAAUGCAUAGAUAUCACGAGGAACUCCGAUUGCGCAGGCAGCUUACUAAACUACUACUGACGCUCAGGCACGAAGGCGUGGGGAUCAAACAGGA
Molecule: ribosomal RNA, 254 nt
Filed under: uncultured prokaryote
Description: partial 16S ribosomal RNA
Rfam family: Bacterial small subunit ribosomal RNA
Source: RNAcentral